Long non-coding RNA from Talpa occidentalis (Iberian mole), 802 nucleotides. RefSeq lists it as uncharacterized. The record is from RefSeq and is a predicted model, not a curated record. The transcript has 5 exons. Lineage: Eukaryota; Metazoa; Chordata; Mammalia; Eulipotyphla; Talpidae.
AUAUAUAAAUUCUCCAGGUUGUUUGGGGUUACUCAGGAUCAAGACUUGGUACAGAGUUGGUCUCCACAUGGGUUGAGACUGAAAGAACAAACGAAAAACGUCCUAUGAACAGGGUUGAACACAGGAUGUAAAAUUUUUCCCCUUCAGAUUUCUUUGAUAUCUGAUACAACUGGAUAAUGAUGUCCCAGGAGAGGAAAUAGAUGCAAAGCGUGAUAAGUUCUGGGCUUCAAUCCUUCUAGAAUGAUAUCUCUACAUGGCAACCAGGGUAUAUGCUGAACAACACACAUGCUCUUGGUUAUCUUAACUUUCAGGAGCAGACAUUGAGAGGGAAAAGAACCCAAACCUAGCUACAAAUCAUCAAACAUCAGCCUUGGGAGCCCCAGAGACAGCUGCAAGCAGGGAGCUCUCAAGGACGCGUGAUUGCAGGAUAAUUUCAAUGAAGAUGAUGCUGGGCAGUUACUGAGUCAGUCACACACUUGAGUUACUGCCUUGAUGACUUCUACAACAGAGUGGAGAAGUUCUGAUUGAUGAACUCAAGGCCACCAACUUUCCUGUUGACAAGAAGGGUGAAUUCCAGCUCUCAACAUCUCUGCCCGAUCGGCGAGUCAAAGACUCUUUUCAUGUUGGCAACAAGCAUCUGGAAGAGAAGAGAAGGGCUGCUGAUGACUAAGAGAGGCCCCUAAUAGGAACUAUGGACAAGAUGAAGAGAGAUUAUCUGCCAAGAGUGAUCUGCCCCAAAUUGCACAAGUGGAGAAGCCAAGGUUCAGCCCCACUACCUGAUUGCUUUUCUUCUUUGUUUGCU